CUUCAUUUGAAAUUACGAUCAAUGAUAAAGAGGUUUUUUCUAAACUGAAGUUGAAAGGUUGGCCAAUCGAAGAGAAUCUGAUUGAGGUUAUACGGCAAGCUGAUCGUGGCAUGGAACCAAAAGAAUUAUCAACUUGCAGGAAAGCUUGUUGUGCCAUUUGUUAAACCGGGGUGUGAUUAAAAAGACGGACAUCAAAAUAUUUGUAAAAUGUAAAACAAAAAUUUUACUCCCAUUUGCCAUUUAUGUAGCUCAUUGAAGAAAUAAGAUGUAAAAACCAAACACUUCAACAACCGAAAUAAAAAAAGUGGAACUCUUAAUAAAAAAAACAACAACAGAAAAUUUAAUAUUUAAUCGUUUUAUACUAAACUGAAACUUUACGAUACAAGGCAAUAAUUGUGUUUAAAAUAAAUUAGUUGAAGGCUAUGGGGAAAUAAAUUAUUUUGAUAAGUGAUAAAGUAGUAUUUUAAAAUGAAGCAGACAAAAAUAGGAAAAAAAUAAAAUAUCAAUUUAUCCGUGAAUAUCUUUUAUUUACCUUAAAAAUUUAAAAAUAUUCAGUUACUUAUAGUAGAGAAAUAAGUUGGUGAUAAAUUUAAGUAAACAACCACCACAUUAAACAAAACUAGAAUUAGUUUAAAAUCUGAGCAAGACGAAAAUAAUCGUCAUUAAAGCUGAAAGUAAAAUUAAUAAAAUGUUCAUUAAAAAGUCGAGUACACCGUUCAUAUUUUUGAUUUUUUGAAGCUAUCAUUUUAUCAAUAAAUGAAAACAGUGGUAAAAAGCGAUGAAGCCACAGUUUGAUGUAGACUUGAAGGAUGAUAGGUUUCUUAAUCAAUCACCAAUAAGAUCGUUCUGUAUUGAAACUAAAAAAUAUUAAAGACAUUAAAAUUGAAAGUAUU
Mytilus trossulus (common blue mussel) is the source of this 893-nucleotide long non-coding RNA. RefSeq lists it as uncharacterized. The record is from RefSeq and is a predicted model, not a curated record. The transcript has 2 exons. Lineage: Eukaryota; Metazoa; Mollusca; Bivalvia; Mytilida; Mytilidae.